AAAAUCAUAGGUACACGCAUGUUUAUGAAAGUAAAAAAAAAACUAAAAUAUAAUAAUAUAUAUGUAGAGGUAAAAAAACUGCACGAAAUGUAUAUAUACAAGUACGUAUAUUACAUUGAAAUGCAUGUAUAUAUAAUCGUGCGUGCUUUUGAAAUAUAGAAAUAAGGAUAAAAAUAAUAAAGGGAGAAAAAAAAAUGGGCCAAACUGAAUUAAAACGAAAAAAACGAAUUUAGAAAAAAAAUAAAAAAAUAAAAUUAGG
Molecule: long non-coding RNA, 259 nt
Filed under: Gossypium raimondii (Peruvian cotton)
Lineage: Eukaryota; Viridiplantae; Streptophyta; Magnoliopsida; Malvales; Malvaceae
Description: long non-coding RNA (GRAI_LNC003803)
Source: RNAcentral